This is a non-coding RNA of Stygiomarasmius scandens, 93 nucleotides long. The record is from the annotation of a GenBank genome assembly. Lineage: Eukaryota; Fungi; Basidiomycota; Agaricomycetes; Agaricales; Campanellaceae.
UUCCAUCGGUGUAGUGGCUAACAUUAUCUCUCAUUUUUGAUUAUGUAAUCAUGAGUGCCCGAUAGCCCAGGGUUCGAUUCCCUGUGAUGGAAU